UAUAAAAGUCUUUUUUUUUGUGGGUGAAAAUGUUCUGAUAACUGCUCUCUAUUACCAGCACCAGUUAUCUAUUUUAAUGCAUGGAAUUGGAUCUAGAGAAGGUUUUUGUAGAUGGCUUAGACUUUGAAAUUUGUUUAGAGGUCUUCUAGUUCUCAUUAUUAUGAUCACCAGUUGUAUAGGAUAGCCUUCUUAACAUGCAUAUGGUGCAUGUUUCAUUUAGGAUCAGGGGGUUGGAGCUGGGAUGAUUGGAGGCUUGAAUCUUUGUUGAUUAUUAUAUUAGGACUAUUUUUGAGAUUCUCGUCCUUCUAUAGAUGGGAAGGAUUUGAUGUGAGUUUUAAUAAUUUGCAACUCAUAGUAGAGUUUGAUUUAUAAGUUCUUUAAUUAUGUCAAAAGUAGGUAUUCCUCCCCUUUCGGUUCAUGUGGAUGCAAAAUAGAUGUUUGUCUCAUUUGGAGAUUUUAUUUUAACAAUCUGUUUCGAUGUACGUUUCGUAUGGGAACCUAUAUGAAAACUUGUAUUGAUACAACAAUCACAGAAUCAUCGUCUGAGAUUGAUUCAUUGUGUAUGUUGAAGUGAUUUCAUCCAAUCCAAAAAUUAGACCAAUUAGUAGGAUGGGCAUAUUUGUAUUUGAUCUUAUGCUUUAAGUCAAUCAGCAAUGCAGAUUAUAGUGAGACAUUCGCCUAUAACGACACAGCGUUCAUAUACCUGCAACACGUAGUCCCGGUGAUAUGUCAGCCAAUUUGGGAGGUUCCACUCCGACUUCGACUCGGUCGCCGUUGCGUAGCCCGGUUCCACCAACACGUUGCUCACCACGUGAGAAGUCCGUAAAAUCCCUGGCAAAGCCUUCCUCUCGCGCUGCCAAGAUCAAAUGGACUGGAACUAUGGAUUAAUUUUUGUUUGACACCUUGAUUGAGCAAAUUGCACUAGGUUGAAAGGCAAAUAAUGGCUUCAAACGAGAAGCAUAUCAAAUGGCCAUCAACGAGGUCCAUAAACGUACACAGAUUCUUGUCACCUGGCAAAAUGUCCAAAACAGAUUGAAGUAUCACAAGAGGGAGUACGGUGAUGUAAAGGACAUGCUGGCUGCGAGCGGCUUCGAUUGGGACAUUGAGCGCAUGGUCGUGACGGCCCCAGACGAAGUUUGGGAGGAGUUUUUAAAGGUAACAUAACCUAUAAUUUUUGAUGUAUAAAAAAUUGAUAGUCAACUCACAUUUACUGAUUUUCAAAAUUAUCGUAUGUUUGUAGUCUCAUCCACGAGCUGAGAGGUUACGUGGCAA
Long non-coding RNA from Magnolia sinica, 1272 nucleotides. RefSeq lists it as uncharacterized. NCBI's taxonomy places the organism in Eukaryota, Viridiplantae, Streptophyta, Magnoliopsida, Magnoliales, Magnoliaceae. The record is from RefSeq and is a predicted model, not a curated record. The transcript has 3 exons.